Molecule: long non-coding RNA, 5089 nt
Filed under: Sus scrofa (pig)
Lineage: Eukaryota; Metazoa; Chordata; Mammalia; Artiodactyla; Suidae
Description: lncRNA (ENSSSCG00015081177.1)
Source: RNAcentral
UUUUUUUUUUUUUUUAGAGUCACACCUUUGGCAUAGGGAAGUUCUCAGGCCAGGGGUGGAACUGGAGCUGCAGCUGCCAGCCUACAUCACAGCCAGGGCAACACUGGAUCUUUAACUCGCUGAGAAAGACCAGGGAUCAAACCUGCAACCUCAUAGACCCACUGAGCCAUGAUGGGAGCUUUGCAAAUAAUUUUCUGAGAGUGAGUGUUCCCCAAUUAUUGCAUGGAGCAUUCACUGUUUAUCUGAAAAAUCAACUGAACUGGACAUUCUGUAUUUUUACUGGCUGUACCUGGCUACUCUAAUUGGAAAUCAAAAACCAUUCCUACUAGAGAACCACCACCCCACUCCAGUUUUGCAAUUUAGGAAACUGUACAUACUAAUGCUAUGUACAUAUACAUGCAUGCAUGCAUGCUUCUCAUGGAUAUAUAUGUUGAAAGUCUUCAUCAAAUCCUCUGACCAUGAAGACUAAUGAAGGCACAACUGCAAUGUCCCUACAGGAUCCAGCCCCUAUUACCUCUGUGACCUUGCCCAGGGCCCCCUCUCCUUUUAUUCCUAAUUUUUUUUUAAAAAAAACUGAUUAUGUACAGCAGAAAUUGACAGAACAUUGUAAAUCCACUAUAAUAAUUUUUUUUUAAUUGCAAGACUACUGCAAAUAAUGUAAGUGGAAGAGAUUUGUGCUUCUAGAAGAAGCACAAAUAGAUCCAAGGCAAUUUUAAAAACUAUAACCAGCCAGGCAUACCAGACAAUCUGAUCAGAUUUGGCCCCAUCUUCACCUGCCAUGUUUCACUUGAGCUUCAGCAUCUAAAUUCCAUAGCUACUCUAAGGGUCUUCUCUGGUAACUGUGGCUGAGAGGGAGGUGGGUGAGUUCUGGCCAUGAUUUUUGAGAUGGCAAAGAUCAAACCCAGAGAAACAAAACCUUCCUGCUGUCAUUGGCUGUGGUGCUUCUCACCCUCUGGCUGGCAUCAAAAUCACUUAGAAGACUUGCAGUGGUGGGGCCUCACCCCAGAGCUUCUGACACAGUAGGUCUGGGGUGGUACCCAAGAAUCUGCAUUCUAACAAGAUGCAGCUGAUCCAGGGGCGACCCUCUGGAAACCAUGUGCUUAUUGCCCCGAAGACCUGAAAAGUCACCCCAGAACUGUUAAGAAAGAGGAGAUGGAUGGACAAAGCAGAUACCUCGAGAUGCCAUAGAAGGCCAUGUACAAAGUCUUGCAUGACGAAGCUGACCUCUCUCUGUGAUGACCCCCUGGCCCUUGGCUCUCCAUGCACACUGCCCUUCAUGACAUUUCUCGAGUGUACCAUGCCAGCUCCUGCCUCAGGACCUUUUGCACUGGCCCCUCCUUCUCGCUGAAAUGCUAUUUUGCAAGCCUGCUGCAUAGCUCUUUCUCCAGGUCCAGGUCUCAGCAUAAGAGGCACCUUGAAGCAGCCUGAAAUCGCCCUGCCUCAUGCCCUGUUUAGUUUCUUCCCAUCUUAAAUGGACUCUUCUAUUUGUUUUGUUGAUUAAACCUGAAGAUCCCUCCUUCUUUGCUGGGUCCUUGGAGGCAAGGAUCUGAAUGGACCUGGUCAUGAUUCUAGGUUCAGGGCCAAGAGCAACAAGCAGGACACAGAAGGACAUUAGGUAAAUGCACGACUGAAAGAAGAAACAAAUGGAUAAAAUGAAAAGAUACUGGGCAAACAGCUCAAAACCAAUCUCUCUGUCUCAUUACCCCCAGACUAGCCCUUCCUGAAACCCCACUAAGAUAAAAUCUAGUGAGGAAGAGGCAGCCUGAACACAGAGCAUUCAUUUUAUUUUUAACCUCUGACCUCACCAUCCCUGAGCGACCCCAGCAGCCCGGCUGCACAUGCUCCACAUCCAGAGGGGGGGACUUCAUUAAGUUUCUUAUAUUAAAACUGGAGGAGUUCCCGUUAUGGCUCAGCAGGUUAAGAACGUGACUAGUAUCCAUGAGGAGGAGGGUUCAAUCCCUGGCCUCACUCAGUGGGUUAAGGAACCAGUUACCGCAAGGGAGGUGUAGGUCGCAGACACGGCUCAGAUCCAGUGUUGCUGUGGCUGUGGUGUAGACCGGCAGCUGUAGCUCUGAUUCGAUCCCUAGCCUGGGAACUUCCAUAUGCCAUAGGUACAGCCCUCAAAAGAAAGAAAGAAAAAAAAAAUGGUAGAGUGGCACGCCUCAAAACUUUUAAAAAAUUGUUUCUAUUAAUGUUUAAUUAGUUCAGGGAUUAAAGGCCCCACAAACUUGUUUCUCCCUCUCUAUUUUCUGAGGGUGAAGUUGUUUGAGUGAUUUAAUCAAUAUACCGAAUUCUCUGCAAGAAGGAAAGAGAUAGAGGAAAAGAAAAGGCAAGAAGGAGAAGGAAGGGGGAGGAGCGGNGGGGGGGGGGGGGGGGGGGGGAAGUAGGGAAGGAGAGAAGGAGGAAGGGAGGAGGGGAGGAAGGGUGAGAAGGGAGAAGGAGGGAGGAGGGGAAGGAGAGAGUGUGGGGAGCGGGAGGAGGGAGAGGGGAGACAGAGCAAGCAAAAGAUUGCCAAUGGGAAUCCAAGGGCAGAGGUAAGUCAACACUGCUGUUCAGAGGAGAGUUUAUCUAGCAGGAAGGGGGCCAAAGCAAAAAAUCUGUUUCAGCGGAAAAGACACACACAUACCAUUUGAGGUUUUCAGAUUCAAAUUCUAAGGGAGCUGUUUUACAAGGCUGCAGAUAACUGGGAGGAAUUCAAAAUAAUUCUUGCCUAUAGGUAUGCAAAUCAGUUCUCUCCAGAGGUAGGAGGAGCCUCCCCCCACUGGCCUGAAAGGUCAGUUUCACAUCAGCAGGGAGGCCAUUCAACAGGCUUUCUGUGCUUCUUGGCCUCCUCUUUGGAGCAGCCAUCCUAUCUGCCUGAUGUCCUGUUUCCUUAAUGAAUUAAAUAAAAAUUUUAACAUGUGUUUCAUUUGAUAUCUGUGGGAGAGUCAUGAUUUUGCCUCCUUCUGAAAAUUAUCUUUUAAUGGAGAAGAAGAGGAAUGGGGGGGGGUGGGGAGUUGGAGGGAGGCGUCUUCUAGGUCCCAUGCCUGUGAGGAUGGGAGGUUCGGUUCAGCUCUGCUCACAUCUGCACUCUCCCUAAACUGCUCACUUCGGUACCACCAGAAUGUUCCAAGAAGACCCAGCACAGGAUCAAAUAGAGAAAGAGAUUCGGGAAGUAUAGCACCUGUGUUGAAACUGUAACCAAGCAGGUCCCCGUGGGGCUCCUGGACACGAAAGCCUUUCCAUGUCCCCCAUUUCUUGUUCUUAGGAGACAGGCCUCAUUCAGCCUCCAGGACCUUCCCUGAGUUCAAGGGUCAGGUUCAGACAGUUGCUGAUCAGGGAAGGAAGGGGAUCCGGAGACCAGCGAGGAGCACAGUCAAGCAACAAUAGUGUGGCCUUGGGGCAGCAGGGCCCAGGUUCCCUCUCAAGGGAGACACAUAAUGAUGUAAGCAUCUUAUACACCUAAGAGAAAAGUGAUAUUCCCUAUGCUUCUUUCAGAAAUGAACACUUUAAAACUGAACAGCUUAGGGUCCUUCCUUGUCCUUUUCCCUGGCUUAACUGCACCCUAAACGCAAUCACCCAUAAGCUAAAGAUUAGGCACCCAGAACACAAUUGCCUGUGGGUUGAAGAUUAUGAGCAAAUGAUAUUUUUCAGGAACUUUCCUAGUUUGUUCUCAUCUCUGAUCAAUAUGCCCUUUUCAGAAGUACUGUUACUCUAGGCAAUAACCCAGAAGACCACCACCAGGAUCUAUCCAAGAUCUCCUGACUCCAGCUUUGAGGACUAAGAUUCCCCCAAAGGAAGAAGAAUGCAUGUCUGCCCCAAUCCCGAUUCCUAUCUGAAAACCUCUUUUUCCCCUUGUUUACUAUAAAACCCGGAGCAAUUCUUCCCAAUGGAUGGCACAGUCUUAAAGGCAUUAGCCUGCUAUAGCCUCCUUUGCCUGGCAAAGCAAUAAAAGCUAUUUUUUUUUUCCUUCAACGAGAACUGUCUGCAUGUUUCUGUUCAGCUCCUGUGGACAGAAGCCAAGUUUCAGCACCAAAACCAUCCAUGAUGAUCCCAAGGGAAAGUAAAAACCUCAUCUGAAGAGCGGGACUAAUCCAUUUGCAGGCAGAAAAUGAUCAUUAUUUCUCACCUUUUGAUGUCCAAGUUCCCAGAGGUAAAAACUCCUAAUUUUCACAGGGGAAAUACAGCAAGAUGACCCAGACAGAUGCCAUCUCAGAAAGAUUAGGGAACCACUUCUGUAUUCCUAGCAGCUCCAGAUUUGCAGUCUCAGGUGUUAUCUGAAUGCAACUGCAAAACCAGGACACUUGUACAGACUGCAAACAAGGCGGCCAGGGAAAGGGCUGCCCCCUGGAUCAAGGGACAUGAGAUGAUACAUGAGAGCCUCCAAAACCGGUGUUCUGACUCAGUUACCUGGAAAGUCAGAUGAGUUCUGAUUGCCCAGGUACAGAGACAAAAGCUCCAGGGAGGGAGUGGGGCUGCCUGUAUUUGGGUAACAGCAUUUCUCCUUGAAAAGUUAAACUUGAGAGUGCAUCUGCAUCUGCUCAGAAACAAGGUCCUCUGAAUUUUAAAAUAUUAAAAUAAGUCCUGGAGUUCCUGUUGAGUGUCAGCAGGUUGAGAAGCCGACAUAGUAUCUGUGAGGAUGUGGCUCUGAUCCCUGGCCUGCAUCAGUGGGUUAAGGAUCCAGCAUUGCUGCAAGCUGUGGCAUAGGUCACAGAUGGGGCCCAGAUCCUGUGUUGCUGUGGCUGUGGCAGAGGCCACAGCUACAGCUCUGAUUUGACCCCUAGCCAGGGAACUUCCAUAUGUCACAGGUGUGGCUGUAAAACACAAAAUACACAAGAAAACAAUUUUUUAAUUAAAAAAAAUAAAUAAAACAUGGGUGUUUCUGUCGUGGUGCAGUGGAAAUGAAUCCGACUAGGAAUCACAAGGUUGCAGGUUCAAACCCUGGCCUCACUCAAUGGAUCAAGGAUCCAGCAUUGCCAUGAGCUGUGGUGUACGUCACAGACUUGGCUUGGAUCCUGUGUUGCUGUGGCUGUGGCACAGGCUGACGGCUACAGCUUCAAUUAGCCUGGGAACUUCCAUAUGCUGCAGGUGCAGCCCUAAAAAGACAAAA